Molecule: ribosomal RNA, 301 nt
Filed under: uncultured bacterium
Lineage: Bacteria
Description: bacterial SSU rRNA
Rfam family: Bacterial small subunit ribosomal RNA
Source: RNAcentral
AGUCCCGCAACGAAGCGCACCCUUUGUCCUUAAGUUGCCAUCAUUCAGUUGGGCACUCUAAGGAGACUGCCGUAAAAUACGGAGGAGGGUGGGGAUGACGUCAAAUCAUCAUGCCCCUUAUGACCUGGGCUACACACGUGCUACAAUGGACGGUACAAACGGUCGCGAAGUCGCGAGACGGAGCCAAUCCGAAAAAACCGUUCUCAGUUCGGAUUGCAGGCUGCAACUCGCCUGCAUGAAGCCGGAAUCGCUAGUAAUCGCGGAUCAGCAUGCCGCGGUGAAUACGUUCCCGGGCCUUGUC